This 496-nucleotide ribosomal RNA is filed under the name uncultured bacterium. RNAcentral's name for it is "partial 16S ribosomal RNA". It matches the Rfam family "Bacterial small subunit ribosomal RNA", at positions 29 to 507 of the family's 1533-position model. The record is from RNAcentral.
ACGAACGCUGGCGGCGUGCCUAAUACAUGCAAGUUGAGCGCUGAAGGUUGGUACUUGUACCAACUGGAUGAGCAGCGAACGGGUGAGUAACGCGUGGGGAAUCUGCCUUUGAGCGGGGGACAACAUUUGGAAACGAAUGCUAAUACCGCAUAAAAACUUUAAACACAAGUUUUAAGUUUGAAAGAUGCAAUUGCAUCACUCAAAGAUGAUCCCGCGUUGUAUUAGCUAGUUGGUGAGGUAAAGGCUCACCAAGGCGAUGAUACAUAGCCGACCUGAGAGGGUGAUCGGCCACAUUGGGACUGAGACACGGCCCAAACUCCUACGGGAGGCAGCAGUAGGGAAUCUUCGGCAAUGGACGAAAGUCUGACCGAGCAACGCCGCGUGAGUGAAGAAGGUUUUCGGAUCGUAAAACUCUGUCGGUAGAGAAGAACGUUGGUGAGAGUGGAAAGCUCAUCAAGUGACGGUAACUACCCAGAAAGGGACGGCUAACUACGUG